GGUGAACAAUUGAUUAAAUGACAUUAAUAGAUAAGAGAUAAAUAAAUAAGUUAGUAAGGGGUGAUGGAAGUAAGAAAGAAAGGAAGGUAGGAAGGUAGGAAGGAAGGAAGGAAGGAAGGAAGGAAGGAAGGAAGGAAGGAAGGAAGGAAGGAAGGAAGGAAGGAAGGAAGGAAGGAAGGAAGGAAGGAAAGGAGAGAGGGAAGAAGGGAGGAAAGAACCAGAUUGUAGAGGGCUUCAAGUGCCAGACUGAGGAGUCUAUAUUUAACCUCACAGCAAGAGGGUUUUGUUUUUUGUUUUUUUGAAGCAGAAGACAUGGAUCUAAAGCAUGGACACCAAAGAACAGUCUCUAAAGGAAGUCCAGAUGCUAAAUGGGAGAAAUCAAAGAAUGCUGGAGUGGGAAGGAACCACAGAGAAUUCAAUGGCGUCAUUUUACAGGACAAAAAGUAAGAACUGAGCAGAUACAGGAAGAGACCAGGAACCCAGCUCAGCCAAUUGAACAUCUGGAUAUGUUCUCCAGAGUUGAUUAUUCAUUUAUUCUGGGAAUGCUUACUAUCUUCUGCACCUGCACAUUAUCAGGUAUGUGUGUGCAUGUGUGUGUGUGUGUAUUCUAA
This 611-nucleotide long non-coding RNA is filed under the name Monodelphis domestica (gray short-tailed opossum). Its description in RNAcentral is "lncRNA (ENSMODG00000037797.1)". The record is from RNAcentral. Lineage: Eukaryota; Metazoa; Chordata; Mammalia; Didelphimorphia; Didelphidae.